AAGACACUUAUCUGUUUUGUUUUGUGCUGAUUUCCAGUUCAAGACAAACAUUGAUCACUGUUUUGUCUUCUGCACAAAGGCAGUCACAGAAAACAGCAGCAUGGCAUCACAAGACCUUCAACGUGCUUGAGUUGGAAGUCAGAGACUCCAUACAUGCUGGACCUAAGAAUGAAGGAAAAACUCAAUGUGUGCCAGGAGAGCAAGGCCCAAAGGAUGCUCUGAUACCAAUGUGACCAGCUUCUGUGAGAGAUGCACUUACCAUCUCUUGCUUUCAGGAAAUGUGCCCAGUGAACUCAGCCUUCAGGGCAGGCCCUGGUUGUAGCUGGUCCAUCGACACUCUGUUAUUAGGAGGGCUCACAAAGGAUGGUGAUUUUGUUUUCUUCCCACCUCUUCUGUCCAGUCAGAAUGUGGGCAGAACGUUGCCUAUUGCAAGAUGGAGAUGGAGAAUGAGCAGUGAAAACGAGUGUGUAAGGUUUGAGCUCACUGACAUCUUCGGAGAAUUGCAAAUGGCCCCUGCUUACACUGGGUUUGGCACUAGGGGACUGGACUGUUUAAAUUUGAUCCUUU
This 567-nucleotide long non-coding RNA is filed under the name Cricetulus griseus (Chinese hamster). Its description in RNAcentral is "lncRNA (ENSCGRG00015041790.1)". The record is from RNAcentral. Lineage: Eukaryota; Metazoa; Chordata; Mammalia; Rodentia; Cricetidae.